This is a long non-coding RNA of Stegodyphus dumicola, 2346 nucleotides long. Lineage: Eukaryota; Metazoa; Arthropoda; Arachnida; Araneae; Eresidae. The record is from RefSeq and is a predicted model, not a curated record.
CUUUGCGACAAAAGAAGAGACUUCAAUUUUAACACAAUAAUACACUUUUAAAGAACACUAUUCACAAUCAGCUUCAUAGAAUUAAAAAAAUUUACUGAAGUUAAUUAUCUAUAAGAAAUCAAACUUUUCAUUAAUUAAUUAGAGAAUAAAACUUCAAAAUAUUGCAUUAACCUUACUCUGAAAAAAAAAAAAAAAGCAUCAGCUACUACACUGAAGAGCCAAAACAUUAUGACCACCGACUCAAUAACGCGUUGCGUGACCCUUGGCCUGCAGAACAGCUGCAACUCAUCUUGGCAUGCCACGGGCUCUUGGUAGGUGACUGGGGACAGGUUGUUCCAAAUGUUUAAGCAGCUGUCACGCAAAGUCAAGAUAUUCUGACAUGGUAGUGCUUGAGCUCUGAGCUACCUCUUCAUGUCAUUCUAAGUGUACUCUGUCGGGUUUAUAUCCGGCGAGUUAGGUAGCCAGAACAUUAAUUGGAAUUCAUUCUUAUGCUCCUCGAACCUGUCCAACACAAUUCGAGCCUUGCGACACUGGGCGUUGUCAUGCUGUAAGAUUCCACUUCUAGUUAGGCAGACAGACGUCAUAUAAGGAGGCAAAUGAUCCGCAAUUAUGUUCAGAUAGUCUGUAGCUUUUAUGGUCUGUUCUACCACAACUAAGGGUCCCAAAGCCGCCAAACGUCCCCCAAAGCAUAAUACCGCCCCCACCAGCCUGUAUAUGACCUGCUGCACAUACGCGGAGCAACUGUUCUCCUGGAAGUUGGCGUACCCUGACAAGACUAUCGAUAUAAUGAAUGAGAAUUCGUGAUUGAUCCGACCAGGCAAUUGUCUUCCACUUCUCCAUGGUCCAUUCUCGAUGUUCCCGGGCCCACUAUAGGCGUAGUUGACAAUGGCGCUUAGUCAACAGAGGCACACGUCUGCUGCGCAGUCCCAUAUCCAACAAUGUGCGCUAAACUCUGUGUUCCAAAACACUUGCACCUGGACCUGCACUGUAUUGGGCUGUCAGCUGAGCAGUUUAGUGUCUUGCGCCGAUUUUGCUGUACGAAGCAGGACAGUCUGCGACGUUCAUUUUCUUUAAUGACGCGUGGAUGUCCAACAUCUUGGCGUCUACGGCUGUUUUUACUAUCAUUUAUUCACUUUGCGUAAAUACCAACAACGGCAGAUCGUAAAUUAUCUACCAGUUCUGCAGUUUCGAAGACACCCCUUCCGAGUCUUUGGGCCAUUACAAUCUGCCAUUUAUCGAAUUCACUUUGAUCAGCAGCCUUUCCCAUCACUCGAAAAGUAAGAGCAAGGAUGAUUCCUUACCUUCUCCAGCAGCAGUUAAAUACCAUUUCCACUUGAUCAUGUGCUAUUCACAUCAUCCAGACCAGUUUCAUUGAAAAAUGUGGGGAUGGUCAUAAUGUCUUGGCUCAAUGGUAACUAAAACUAGAGACUUUUUUUACAUGUGAAUAAUUUUCUUUUCAUGUACAGAUUCUGUAUAAUAUUUCUAGUUCUUUCCUUUUGUUAACUACUAGUUUGAUUUAGUUUCAAAAAUCCAUAAUAGCUAUGCUGGGAUAAGACUUUAAACUUAUUAUCUUCGUUUUUUAUAACUUUGGCCUGAAUUUAAAUUCAAAUUUACAUUUUAGAGUUAAAUAUACUAUAUUUGCUAUUUAAUAUAUAAUAUUUGCUAUUUAAUAUAUGCUUGCUACUAAAUAUGCUUUGUUAUUUAACGCUCAUUGUGGUCUCUUUCCCUUGCUCCUUGCUUCUGCUCUCUUUUACUUCUUCUUUUUUGGCAAACCUAAUUUUCGCUAUUUGCACAAAGAACUUGUUUCUGAGAAUUCUUCCGUCUUCUAUUUUGCUGCCAAAUUUUUCUCCUACGACAAAUUUUCGACAACCUUGGCAUGGUUUCUUAUUUGAAGGACAUUCACUAGUUUAUCUAUUUCUGCAUUUGAAUGAUUUUCACAAGAAACGGCAACCUUACUCUUUCGUUUCCACGCUCACCGUUUGAAUGCUAAAAUAACUGAACCAUUUUUUCUAAAGGUUGAAGCACAUUUGUUUCAUUCAGAAAUGGAGUAAAUGCAAUGUUGUGUGGGCUCAACCUGGGUACAUCUAGCCUGCCAGCAAUAACAUAAAGUUUGAUGGCUGAAAAUCAAUACGUCUGAGAAAAGGACCCGAUUGACAGAUGAGCAUCUAGAAUCGGUGAUAAAAAUCUUUAUUCAAGGCUACAAAUUUUGUCAGAAUCGAAAUGCCAUUAAGUAUCAAGUUGUAGUAAGAAAUAAAGAAAUUUAUAAUCGUUUACAUUCAAAUGCAUGUAUUUUUUUUUCGUGUGUUGAAGAAAAUUUAAUAAAUAAAAGAAGGAAUGCUGUCAUUA